Molecule: ribosomal RNA, 805 nt
Filed under: uncultured Front Range soil crenarchaeote FRD33
Lineage: Archaea; Thermoproteati; Thermoproteota
Description: bacterial SSU rRNA
Rfam family: Archaeal small subunit ribosomal RNA
Source: RNAcentral
CCCGACUGCUAUCAGAGUGGGACUAAGCCAUGCGAGUCAACAUAGCAAUAUGUGGCAUACGGCUCAGUAACACGUAGUCAACAUGCCCAGGGGACGUGGAUAACCUCGGGAAACUGAGGAUAAACCGCGAUAAGUCACUGCUUCUGGAAUGGGCAAUGNCUUAAAUCUAUAUGGCCCCUGGAUUGGACUGCGGCCGAUCAGGCUGUUGGUGAGGUAAUGGCCCACCAAACCUGUAACCGGUACGGGCUCUGAGAGGAGGAGCCCGGAGAUGGGCACUGAGACAAGGGCCCAGGCCCUAUGGGGCGCAGCAGGCGCGAAACCUCUGCAAUAGGCGAAAGCCUGACAGGGUUACUCUGAGUGAUUUCCGUUAAGGAGAUCUUUUGGCACCUCUAAAAAUGGUGCAGAAUAAGGGGUGGGCAAGUCUGGUGUCAGCCGCCGCGGUAAUACCAGCACCCCGAGUGGUCGGGACGAUUAUUGGGCCUAAAGCAUCCGUAGCCGGUUCUGCAAGUCUUCCGUUAAAUCCACCUGCUUAACAGAUGGGCUGCGGAAGAUACUAUAGAGCUAGGAGGCGGGAGAGGCAAGCGGUACUCAAUGGGUAGGGGUAAAAUCCGUUGAUCCAUUGAAGACCACCAGUGGCGAAGGCGGCUUGCCAGAACGCGCUCGACGGUGAGGGAUGAAAGCUGGGGGAGCAAACCGGAUUAGAUACCCGGGUAGUCCCAGCUGUAAACGAUGCAGACUCGGUGAUGAAUUGGCUUUAUGCCAAUUCAGUGCCGCAGGGAAGCCGUUAAGUUUGCCGCCUGGGGAG